This 69-nucleotide transfer RNA is filed under the name Petrotilapia nigra. RNAcentral describes it as "tRNA-Glu". Lineage: Eukaryota; Metazoa; Chordata; Actinopteri; Cichliformes; Cichlidae. The record is from RNAcentral.
GUUUUUGUUUUUGAAUAGCUACGGUGGUUUUUCGGUUCAUUAGUCCUGGUUAAAGUCCUGGCAGAAACU